Molecule: long non-coding RNA, 671 nt
Organism: Oncorhynchus nerka (sockeye salmon)
Lineage: Eukaryota; Metazoa; Chordata; Actinopteri; Salmoniformes; Salmonidae
Exons: 2
Source: RefSeq, a predicted model, not a curated record
CCAUGUGUUGCACACUUAUGGUUUUGUUGGGACAUACAUCAGACUCUUUCUCAACACUGCCAAACCGUUGUUUCCCAUGUGUUGCACACUUAUGGUUUUGUUGGGACAUACAUCAGACUCUUUCUCAACACUGCCAAACCGUUGUUUCCCAUGUGUUGCACACUUAUGGUUUUGUUGGGACAUACAUCAGACUCUUUCUCAACACUGCCAAACCGUUGUUUCGUGGACAGCUGCAGGUGCAGAAUCAUCAAAUAAGCCCUAAAGACAGCACAUUAUCAGAAGGGGAUAGAAGAUAAUGGGUGAGCUCAAAACCUUGGGAGAGAAAACAAGAGCUGUGAUUUGGUAAAUGUCUCCGGAAAUGGGAAAGCUGGAGUGUGAUUUGGUAAAUUGGUCGAUCAAGGCUGAACUCCUGUCCACAGCAAGUAUGGGAGGGGCCUUACUUGCAAAUGUUCGAACCAGUGUUUGAGCCUCUCCCCAUUGGCGCUGAUGCCCAGGGAUACGCCACCUGAGAGCGGGGACGGGAGAACAGCAGAAAAGGGUAAGAACACAACAGAAAAUGGAUACACCUGAGCUCAAUUUGGAGGGUCAUAGCAAAGGGGUGUGAAUACUUGUAUAAAUUAGAUAUUUCUGUAUUUAAUUUUCAAUAAAUACAUUUAAAAAAAAUCUAAAAA